AUGAAGAAAUGAAUAAUAAUGAUAAAGGGAUGAAAAUAAAUAAUAAUAAAUAAUGAAAAGAAUAAUUAUGUAUACUUUCUCUAAUUAAGAGUCUUGCUCGCGAGCAGUUUAAAACUUUCUUAAAUCGUUGAAGUGCAUUUUAUGCGUUUCUCUCUCACAGCUCGUAAUGAUGAUUCUUUUUUUUUUUUUUUUUUUUUUUUUUUUUUUUUUUUUUUUUUUUUUUUGAAAUUUAUAGUUAUGAAAGUAGUCAAGGCGUAGAGUCGUUAAUUUUUGCACGUCCGCGAAAACCUUUUCUUCUAAGAAAUUUACUAUAUACAAGAGAAAGCGCAUGCUGUCCAACCAACUCUCUCUCUCUCUCUCUUUCCUUCCUGCCUUUUCUCAGUUCUUUUCACACAGUACUUUGCAGAAACCGCUUAAGGCACUCGCCGCUUAAGAAACUCCUCGGAAAACUUUUCAGCCACAUCAUGAGAUGACAUAAUAUAAGUCGUGUCGUGUGCCUCUAUACACACGUCAAGAUUCUUUUUUUUCAACUUCUUUUUUAAACUCUCAUCAUGAAUCACGAUUAUAUUGUUAUAUCCAUAGAGAUACGUUUUUAUAACAAAAAAUCUCAUUUUCAAAGCAAUUUCUUUUUUUAUUACAUUCAAAAAGCUGUCUAAUUAAAAUCAAAGAAUUUAGAAGAAAAUUAAAACUCAGAGUAAACAAAGUGCUAUAUAAUUUAAACAUAUUUUUACUACUAGUUAAUCGUAAUUUGUCUGACUAGAACUGGUUUUUGCUACUGAGGUUAAAAUUAAAAAAAUUUGUCUGACAGUAAUUUAUUUCUACUACCUAUAUAACUACUGUUCAGUGUCUGAUUAAUACAUGCAUUUACUACUUCGAACAAAACGUAGGCUAUAUGUUUGACUGCAAAAUACUGUUACUACUAUUACAGAAAAAAAAGAUAGUUGGUCUGACUAAAAACAAAUUCUACUACUGCUUUGAAGAGUACAACAAUUCUGUCUGACUGCAACGUACUUUUACUACUUCUUUAAAAAUAACAGACAGUAGGUCUGACUUAAUACAACUUUAACUACUGUUACACUUUUGAGUGUAUUUUGUGCAAGAAAAUGCAAUAAAAUAGUCUGCCUAAGAAAAAUUGAAUUAUUUUGAAAAUUUUUUUUUUACGAAAAUCGCUUUUAUGGUCAUAAAAUUGGUGUUCCUCUACUCGGAUCGGGCUGUCAAUUUUUUUCUACACUUUUAGGUGUAUUUUGUGCAAGAAAAUGCAAUAAAAUAGUCUGCCUAAGAAAAAUUGAAUUUUUUUGAAAAUUUUUUUUUUACGAAAAUCGCUUUAAUGGUCAUAAAAUUGGUGUUCCUCUACUCGGAUCGGGCUGUCAAUUUUUUUCUACACUUUUAGGUGUAUUUUGUGCAAGAAAAUGCAAUAAAAUAGUCUGCCUAAGAAAAAUUGAAUUAUUUUGAAAAAUUUUUUUUUACGAAAAUCGCUUUAAUGGUCAUAAAAUUGGUGUUCCUCUACUCGGAUCGGGCUGUCAAUUUUUUUCUACACUUUUAGGUGUAUUUUGAGCAAGAAAAUGCAAUAAAAUAGUCUGCCUAAGAAAAAUUGAAUUAUUUUGAAAAAUUUUUUUUUACGAAAAACGCUAUAAUGGUCAUAAUAGGGGUGUUCCUCUACUCCGAUCGGGCUGUCAAUUUUUUUCUACACUUUUAGGUGUAUUUUGUGCAAGGAAAUGCAAUAAAAUAGUCUGCCUAAGAAAAAUUGAAUUAUUUUGAAAAUUUUUUUUUUACGAAAAACGCUAUAAUGGUCAUAAUAGGGGUGUUCCUCUACUCCGAUCGGGCUGUCAAUUUUUUUCUACACUUUUAGGUGUAUUUUGUGCAAGAAAAUGCAAUAAAAUAGUCUGCCUAAGAAAAAUGGAAUUAUUUUGAAAUUUUUUUUUUACGAAAAUCGCUUUAAUGGUCAUAAAAUUGGUGUUCCUCUACUCGGAUCAGGCUGUCAAUUUUUUUCUACACUUUUAGGUGUAUUUUGUGCAAGAAAAUGCAAUAAAAUAGUCUGCCUAAGAAAAAUUGAAUUUUUUUGAAAAUUUUUUUUUUACGAAAAUCGCUUUAAUGGUCAUAAAAUUGGUGUUCCUCUACUCGGAUCGGGCUGUCAAUUUUUUUCUACACUUUUAGGUGUAUUUUGUGCAAGAAAAUGCAAUAAAAUAGUCUGCCUAAGAAAAAUUGAAUUAUUUUGAAAAAUUUUUUUUUACGAAAAUCGCUUUAAUGGUCAUAAAAUUGGUGUUCCUCUACUCGGAUCGGGCUGUCAAUUUUUUUCUACACUUUUAGGUGUAUUUUGAGCAAGAAAAUGCAAUAAAAUAGUCUGCCUAAGAAAAAUUGAAUUAUUUUGAAAAUUUUUUUUUUACGAAAAUCGCUUUAAUGGUCAUAAAAUUGGUGUUCCUCUACUCCGAUCGGGCUGUUAAUUUUUUUCUACACUUUUAGGUGUAUUUUGUGCAAGAAAAUGCAAUAAAAUAGUCUGCCUAAGAAAAAUUGAAUUAUUUUGAAAAAUUUUUUUUUACGAAAAUCGCUUUAAUGGUCAUAAAAUUGGUGUUCCUCUACUCGGAUCGGGCUGUCAAUUUUUUUCUACACUUUUAGGUGUAUUUUGUGCAAGAAAAUGCAAUAAAAUAGUCUGCCUAAGAAAAAUUGAAUUUUUUUGAAAAUUUUUUUUUUACGAAAAUCGCUUUAAUGGUCAUAAAAUUGGUGUUCCUCUACUCGGAUCGGGCUGUCAAUUUUUUUCUACACUUUUAGGUGUAUUUUGUGCAAGAAAAUGCAAUAAAAUAGUCUGCCUAAGAAAAAUUGAAUUAUUUUGAAAAAUUUUUUUUUACGAAAAUCGCUUUAAUGGUCAUAAAAUUGGUGUUCCUCUACACGGAUCGGGCUGUUAAUUUUUUUCUACACUUUUAGGUGUAUUUUGUGCAAGAAAAUGCAAUAAAAUAGUCUGCCUAAGAAAAAUUGAAUUAUUUUGAAAAAUUUUUUUUUACGAAAAUCGCUUUAAUGGUCAUAAAAUUGGUGUUCCUCUACUCCGAUCGGGCUGUCAAUUUUUUUCUACACUUUUAGGUGUAUUUUGUGCAAGAAAAUGUAAUAAAAUAGUCUGCCUAAGAAAAAUUGAAUUAUUUUGAAAAAAUUUUUUUUACGAAAAUCGCUUUAAUGGUCAUAAAAUUGGUGUUCCUCUACUCGGAUCGGGCUGUCAAUUUUUUUCUACACUUUUAGGUGUAUUUUGUGCAAGAAAAUGCAAAAAAAUAGUCUGCCUAAGAAAAAUUGAAUUAUUUUGAAAUUUUUUUUUUACGAAAAUCGCUUUAAUGGUCAUAAAAUUGGUGUUCCUCUACUCGGAUCAGGCUGUCAAUUAUUUUCUACACUUUUAGGUGUAUCUUGUGCAAGAAAAUGCAAUAAAAUAGUCUGCCUAAGAAAAAUUGGAUUAUUUUGAAAAAAUUUUUUUUACGAAAAUCGCUUAAAUGGUCAUAAAAUUGGUGUUCCUCUACACGGAUCGGGCUGUUAAUUUUUUUCUACACUUUUAGGUGUAUUUUGUGCAAGAAAAUGCAAUAAAAUAGUCUGCCUAAGAAAAAUUGAAUUAUUUUGAAAAAUUUUUUUUUACGAAAAACGCUAUAAUGAUCAUAAUAGGGGUGUUCCUCUACUCGGAUCGGGCUGUCAAUUUUUUUCUACACUUUUAGGUGUAUUUUGUGCAAGAAAAUGCAAUAAAAUAGUCUGCCUAAGAAAAAUUGAAUUAUUUUGAAAAAUUUUUUUUUACGAAAAUCGCUUUAAUGGUCAUAAAAUUGGUGUUCCUCUACUCCGAUCGGGCUGUCAAUUUUUUUCUACACUUUUAGGUGUAUUUUGUGCAAGAAAAUGCAAUAAAAUAGUCUGCCUAAGAAAAAUUGGAUUAUUUUGAAAAAUUUUUUUUUACGAAAAUCGCUUUAAUGGUCAUAAAAUUGGUGUUCCUCUACACGGAUAGGGCUGUUAAUUUUUUUCUACACUUUUAGGUGUAUUUUGUGCAAGAAAAUGCAAUAAAAUAGUCUGCCUAAGAAAAAUUGAAUUAUUUUGAAAAAUUUUUUUUUACGAAAAUCGCUUUAAUGGUCAUAAUAGGGGUGUUCCUCUACUCGGAUCGGGCUGUCAAUUUUUUUCUACACUUUUAGGUGUAUUUUGUGCAAGAAAAUGCAAUAAAAUAGUCUGCCUAAGAAAAAUUGAAUUAUUUUGAAAUUUUUUUUUUACGAAAAUCGCUUUAAUGGUCAUAAAAUUGGUGUUCCUCUACUCCGAUCGGGCUGUCAAUUUUUUUCUACACUUUUAGGUGUAUUUUGUGCAAGAAAAUGCAAUAAAAUAGUCUGCCUAAGAAAAAUUGAAUUAUUUUGAAAUUUUUUUUUUACGAAAAUCGCUUUAAUGGUCAUAAAAUUGGUGUUCCUCUACUCGGAUCGGGCUGUCAAUUUUUUUCUACACUUUUAGGUGUAUUUUGUGCAAGAAAAUGCAAUAAAAUAGUCUGCCUAAGAAAAAUUGAAUUUUUUGAAAAAUUUUUUUUUUACGAAAAUCGCUUUAAUGGUCAUAAAAUUGGUGUUCCUCUACUCGGAUCGGGCUGUCAAUUUUUUUCUACACUUUUAGGUGUAUUUUGAGCAAGAAAAUGCAAUAAAAUAGUCUGCCUAAGAAAAAUUGAAUUAUUUUGAAAAAUUUUUUUUUACGAAAAUCGCUUUAAUGGUCAUAAUAGGGGUGUUCCUCUACUCCGAUCGGGCUGUCAAUUUUUUUCUACACUUUUAGGUGUAUUUUGAGCAAGAAAAUGCAAUAAAAUAGUCUGCCUAAGAAAAAUUGAAUUAUUUUGAAAAAUUUUUUUUUACGAAUAACGCUAUAAUGGUCAUAAUAGGGGUGUUCCUCUACUCCGAUCGGGCUGUCAAUUUUUUUCUACACUUUUAGGUGUAUUUUGUGCAAGAAAAUGCAAUAAAAUAGUCUGCCUAAGAAAAAUUGAAUUAUUUUGAAAUUUUUUUUUUACGAAAAUCGCUUUAAUGGUCAUAAAAUUGGUGUUCCUCUACUCCGAUCGGGCUGUCAAUUUUUUUCUACACUUUUAGGUGUAUUUUGUGCAAGAAAAUGCAAUAAAAUAGUCUGCCUAAGAAAAAUUGAAUUAUUUUGAAAUUUUUUUUUUACGAAAAUCGCUUUAAUGGUCAUAAAAUUGGUGUUCCUCUACUCGGAUCGGGCUGUCAAUUUUUUUCUACACUUUUAGGUGUAUUUUGUGCAAGAAAAUGCAAUAAAAUAGUCUGCCUAAGAAAAAUUGAAUUAUUUUGAAAAUUUUUUUUUUACGAAAAUCGCUUUAAUGGUCAUAAAAUUGGUGUUCCUCUACUCGGAUCGGGCUGUCAAUUUUUUUCUACACUUUUAGGUGUAUUUUGAGCAAGAAAAUGCAAUAAAAUAGUCUGCCUAAGAAAAAUUGAAUUAUUUUGAAAAAUUUUUUUUUACGAAAAUCGCUUUAAUGGUCAUAAUAGGGGUGUUCCUCUACUCGGAUCGGGCUGUCAAUUUUUUUCUACACUUUUAGGUGUAUUUUGUGCAAGAAAAUGCAAUAAAAUAGUCUGCCUAAGAAAAAUUGAAUUAUUUUGAAAAUUUUUUUUUACGAAAAUCGCUUUAAUGGUCAUAAAAUUGGUGUUCCUCUACUCGGAUCGGGCUGUCAAUUUUUUUCUACACUUUUAGGUGUAUUUUGUGCAAGAAAAUGCAAUAAAAUAGUCUGCCUAAGAAAAAUUGAAUUAUUUUGAAAAAUUUUUUUUUACGAAAAUCGCUUUAAUGGUCAUAAAAUUGGUGUUCCUCUACUCGGAUCGGGCUGUCAAUUUUUUUCUACACUUUUAGGUGUAUUUUGUGCAAGAAAAUGCAAUAAAAUAGUCUGCCUAAGAAAAAUUGAAUUAUUUUGAAAAUUUUUUUUUACGAAAAUCGCUUUAAUGGUCAUAAAAUUGGUGUUCCUCUACUCGGAUCGGGCUGUCAAUUUUUUUCUACACUUUUAGGUGUAUUUUGUGCAAGAAAAUGCAAUAAAAUAGUCUGCCUAAGAAAAAUUGAAUUAUUUUGAAAAUUUUUUUUUACGAAAAUCGCUUUAAUGGUCAUAAAAUUGGUGUUCCUCUACUCCGAUCGGGCUGUCAAUUUUUUUCUACACUUUUAGGUGUAUUUUGUGCAAGAAAAUGCAAUAAAAUAGUCUGCCUAAGAAAAAUUGAAUUAUUUUGAAAAUUUUUUUUUACGAAAAUCGCUUUAAUGGUCAUAAAAUUGGUGUUCCUCUACUCGGAUCGGGCUGUCAAUUUUUUUCUACACUUUUAGGUGUAUUUUGUGCAAGAAAAUGCAAUAAAAUAGUCUGCCUAAGAAAAAUUGAAUUAUUUUGAAAAUUUUUUUUUUACGAAAAUCGCUUUAAUGGUCAUAAAAUUGGUGUUCCUCUACUCCGAUCGGGCUGUCAAUUUUUUUCUACACUUUUAGGUGUAUUUUGUGCAAGAAAAUGCAAUAAAAUAGUCUGCCUAAGAAAAAUUGAAUUAUUUUGAAAAAUUUUUUUUUACGAAAAUCGCUUUAAUGGUCAUAAUAGUGGUGUUCCUCUACUCCGAUCGGGCUGUCAAUUUUUUUCUACACUUUUAGGUGUAUUUUGUGCAAGAAAAUGCAAUAAAAUAGUCUGCCUAAGAAAAAUUGAAUUAUUUUGAAAAUUUUUUUUUUACGAAAAUCGCUUUAAUGGUCAUAAUAGGGGUGUUCCUCUACUCCGAUCGGGCUGUCAAUUUUUUUCUACACUUUUAGGUGUAUUUUGUGCAAGAAAAUGCAAUAAAAUAGUCUGCCUAAGAAAAAUUGAAUUAUUUUGAAAAUUUUUUUUUACGAAAAUCGCUUUAAUGGUCAUAAAAUUGGUGUUCCUCUACUCGGAUCGGGCUGUCAAUUUUUUUCUACACUUUUAGGUGUAUUUUGUGCAAGAAAAUGCAAUAAAAUAGUCUGCCUAAGAAAAAUUGAAUUAUUUUGAAAAUUUUUUUUUACGAAAAUCGCUUUAAUGGUCAUAAAAUUGGUGUUCCUCUACUCGGAUCGGGCUGUCAAUUUUUUUCUACACUUUUAGGUGUAUUUUGUGCAAGAAAAUGCAAUAAAAUAGUCUGCCUAAGAAAAAUUGAAUUAUUUUGAAAAUUUUUUUUUUACGAAAAUCGCUUUAAUGGUCAUAAAAUUGGUGUUCCUCUACUCCGAUCGGGCUGUCAAUUUUUUUCUACACUUUUAGGUGUAUUUUGUGCAAGAAAAUGCAAUAAAAUAGUCUGCCUAAGAAAAAUUGAAUUAUUUUGAAAAUUUUUUUUUACGAAAAUCGCUUUAAUGGUCAUAAUAGGGGUGUUCCUCUACUCCGAUCGGGCUGUCAAUUUUUUUCUACACUUUUAGGUGUAUUUUGUGCAAGGAAAUGCAAUAAAAUAGUCUGCCUAAGAAAAAUUGAAUUAU
Long non-coding RNA from Leptopilina boulardi, 7401 nucleotides. RefSeq lists it as uncharacterized. The record is from RefSeq and is a predicted model, not a curated record. NCBI's taxonomy places the organism in Eukaryota, Metazoa, Arthropoda, Insecta, Hymenoptera, Figitidae. The transcript has 7 exons.